UACGUGGGGUGCAAGCGUUAUCCGGAUUUACUGGGCGUAAAGCGUUCGUAGGCGGAUUAGUAAGUGACGGGUUAAAGCUCAGGGCUCAACUCUGAAUCAGCUCGUCAUACUGCUAGUCUAGAAUUAGUUCGGGGAGGUUGGAAUUCUCGGUGGAGGGGUGAAAUCCGUUGAUAUCGAGAGGAACGCCAAGGGUGAAGACAGGCCUCUAGGACUUAAUUGACGCUGAGGGACGAAAGCUAGGGUAGCAAAGCGG
RNAcentral lists this unclassified non-coding RNA (253 nucleotides) under uncultured Patescibacteria group bacterium. RNAcentral describes it as "contains 16S-23S intergenic spacer region". It matches the Rfam family "Bacterial small subunit ribosomal RNA", at positions 524 to 776 of the family's 1533-position model. The record is from RNAcentral.